AUACUUACCUGGCAGGGGAGAUACCAUGAUCACAAAGGCAAUUUUCCAGGUUGAGGCUUAUCUAUUGCACUCCAGAUGUGGUGAUCCCUGGAAUUUCCCCAAAUUCAGGAAACUCAACUGCAUAAUUUGUGGUAGUGGGGGACUGCGUUUGUGCUCUCCCCUC
This 163-nucleotide small nuclear RNA is filed under the name Prolemur simus (greater bamboo lemur). RNAcentral describes it as "U1 spliceosomal RNA (ENSPSMG00000006106.1)". It matches the Rfam family "U1 spliceosomal RNA". Rfam says of the family: U1 is a small nuclear RNA (snRNA) component of the spliceosome (involved in pre-mRNA splicing). Its 5' end forms complementary base pairs with the 5' splice junction, thus defining the 5' donor site of an intron. The record is from Rfam by way of RNAcentral. Lineage: Eukaryota; Metazoa; Chordata; Mammalia; Primates; Lemuridae.